This is a non-coding RNA of Cavia porcellus (domestic guinea pig), 452 nucleotides long. Lineage: Eukaryota; Metazoa; Chordata; Mammalia; Rodentia; Caviidae. The record is from the annotation of a RefSeq genome assembly.
AUGGGCUCCUGGGCCCUUGUACUGGCAGAUUUCAUCCCUCUUCUUCCUGGGCAGCAGCUGAAUCUUGCAGGGAAGCUGCACUCUGCUGCUCUGCUGCCUGGUACUGGGAGCCUUGCUAAGACCACUCAGCCCAUCUCCAUGGACUCCUAUGAGGGACAAGAGGUGAACUUGUCCUGUAUCCACCCCAACAUCGCUACAAAUGAGAACAUCAUCUGGUACCGACAAGCCCACCUCCAGGGACCACAGUUUGUUAUUCAAGGGUAUAAGACAGACGUGGCCAAUGGAGUGGCAUCUCUGUUUAUCCCUAAAGACAGGAAGUCCAGCACCCUGAGCCUGCCCCGGGUUGCUCUGAGAGACACUGCUGUCUACUACUGCAUCGUGGCUGAUGCACAGUGAGUCAUCUGGCCCUGCACCUGUGCAGUAUCCUGCUGUUAGGUGACAGUCAUGCCCAG